This 856-nucleotide long non-coding RNA is filed under the name Mus musculus (house mouse). RNAcentral's name for it is "RIKEN cDNA 1700008K24 gene, transcript variant 3 (1700008K24Rik)". Lineage: Eukaryota; Metazoa; Chordata; Mammalia; Rodentia; Muridae. The record is from RNAcentral.
CAGAUGAGAGCAGUUGGCAGUUAUUUUGCAGGAGGCUUCUCAGGGAUGAAGGCAAGCUGGCCCCUAGCUGAUCAGCUGGUUGGUGAGGACUCUUCACGAAGUAAGGGACCAUUGUGAAGAUGGAAGAAUGCCCACAAAAUCCAGCUUGAAACCUGCUGGCUCUGAGGGUCCUGCUGGCUCAGCAGUGCUGGUAACCAAGAAGUAUCGCAGGCCCAGGAAAGUUACCCUUCUAUUUGCGGAGAGCUAUUGCCUAUCGGCCUGGACCAGCAGAUAACUCAGCACUCAUGAUCAGCUGUCAAGCUAUAACGGAGUGUUGAGGCAGUCCCUGAAACCACAGCGCCAUUUUGUAGGAACUAAGAAGCCAACCUCAAGGAAUCACUCGCCCCAAGAAGACUUUGUUCUGAUCUGAUGUGUUUCUAGCCUGGUGGAGCCUCAGCUAUCCAAAGGAAGAGCUGUUAAGAUGAUUGGAAUUUUGGUUUUUCCGAUUCACUCUUUUUUCUCUCCAGCCAUCUGCCUUAGACAGCAGGAGAAAAGGAAACUUAGCCUCAGAGGUGGGGUCCUUCGGAAGGACUGACAGUGGGCUAGCUCUCCUGCUGCUGGGAGCCUGAGUGCCUUUGGCUCCUUGUCCAGACCUCAGCUUUACCACGGAGGUUACCUGCUUACCAUCAACAUCGAAACUUGCCUCUUCCCCUGGGUGUAUUCUCCCUCUUUUGUGUACAGUUUGAUUCCUCCAAACUGCUCUCCCUGUGAAGAAAGCCGAUGGAAUUCAGGGAGCCUGGCCAGCCACCCAGGCCUUUAUAAAGGUCCUCGUACCACAGGAUGUAUGGGAGACCCAAUAAAGACUUUUGCAAAAUGC